RNAcentral lists this ribosomal RNA (497 nucleotides) under uncultured bacterium. RNAcentral's name for it is "partial 16S ribosomal RNA". It matches the Rfam family "Bacterial small subunit ribosomal RNA", at positions 28 to 507 of the family's 1533-position model. The record is from RNAcentral.
GAUGAACGCUGGCGGCGUGCCUAAUACAUGCAAGUCGAGCGAACAGACGAUGAUCUUGCUCCUCUGACGUUAGCGGCGGACGGGUGAGUAACACGUGGAUAACCUACCUAUAAGACUGGGAUAACUUCGGGAAACCGGCGCUAAUACCGGAUAAUAUAUUGAACCGCAUGGUUCAAUAGUGAAAGACGGUUUUGCUGUCACUUAUAGAUGGAUCCGCGCCGCAUUAGCUAGUUGGUAAGGUAACGGCUUACCAAGGCAACGAUGCGUAGCCGACCUGAGAGGGUGAUCGGCCACACUGGAACUUAGACACGGUCAAGACUCCUACGGGAGGCAGCAGUAGGGAAUCUUCCGCAAUGGGCGAAAGCCUGACGGAGCAACGCGGAGUGAGUGAUGAAGGUCUUCGGAUCGUAAAACUCUGUUAUUAGUGAAGAACAAAUGUGUAAGUAACUAUGCACGUCUUGACGGUACCUGAUCAGAAAGCCACGGCUAACUACGUG